This 201-nucleotide ribosomal RNA is filed under the name uncultured microorganism. RNAcentral's name for it is "partial 16S ribosomal RNA". It matches the Rfam family "Bacterial small subunit ribosomal RNA", at positions 9 to 181 of the family's 1533-position model. The record is from RNAcentral.
GAGUUUGAUCCUGGCUCAGGAUGAACGCUGGCGGCGUGCUUAACACAUGCAAGUCGAACGAAGCGCCUUAUUUGAUUUUCUUCGGAACUGAAGAUUUGGUUGACUGAGUGGCGGACGGGUGGAGUAACGCGUGGGUAACCGUGCCCUCGUACAGGGGGAGUAACAAUCAGAAAUAGACUGCUAAUAACCGCCAUAAGACCA